CACGUAGGAGGCGAGCGUUGUCCGGAAUCAUUGGGCGUAAAGAGCGCGCAGGCGGCUUGGCAAGUCGGGUGUGAAAUCCCGGGGCUCAACCCCGUGACUGCAUUCGAUACUGUCAGGCUAGAGGUAGGUAGGGGAGAUCGGAAUUCCUGGUGUAGCGGUGAAAUGCGCAGAUAUCAGGAGGAACACCCGUGGCGAAGGCGGCUCUCUGGGACGGUACUGACGCUGAGACGCGAAAGCGUGGGGAGCGAACAGG
Molecule: ribosomal RNA, 253 nt
Filed under: uncultured bacterium
Lineage: Bacteria
Description: partial 16S ribosomal RNA
Rfam family: Bacterial small subunit ribosomal RNA
Source: RNAcentral